This 97-nucleotide small nucleolar RNA is filed under the name Callithrix jacchus (white-tufted-ear marmoset). RNAcentral describes it as "Small nucleolar RNA U13 (ENSCJAG00000058976.2)". It matches the Rfam family "Small nucleolar RNA U13", at positions 15 to 104 of the family's 104-position model. The record is from Rfam by way of RNAcentral. Lineage: Eukaryota; Metazoa; Chordata; Mammalia; Primates; Cebidae.
AACCAAAACCUAAGCAUGACUAUUGGGUUUUCUUGAUAUUGUAUGAUAUGUGCUUUCCUCAAAACUGUUAUGAUAUCAUCCCAUCACCCAUCUGAUG